UGCGGAGGGGGGCUCCCGGGAGCCGGGUCCCUGGGAGUGGGAGUAAGGAGGUGGAACGGACACCUCCGGAACUUUGCCCCUGGGAGUUGGGGAAAUCCCGCCUCCCCAUCCAUCCCAUCCUCUAAACCCGCCACGGGGUUGGGCCUUGACUCUUUCCUGGAGAUUGAAGGCGGAGGCAGAAGGAGCUGUCGAGAAACCAGUUGGCUCUGCAGAGGCACGUUUAGGGAGAGUUAGCAAAGAUUCUUGAACUGCGGGAAGUCUAUUCAGGGAAACAUCCCACUUAGCAUCCCACUUAGCCUGGUCAGCCCAUGUCCAUGCUGUUUACUUUUUUUUCUGAAGUCCUUUGCACCCCCAUUUUCUCUUUAGGGUUCCUGCAGUCUGUCCAUAGCCCAACUACGGACGGGCUCUGUGCUGUGCCCUGGGGAAGUCUGCAGGGAGGAAGAUGGGGGCUGCCACCCCUAGUCUGGUAGAAAGAAAGAAAACACAUCUCGGCAUUUAACAACUUAAAUGUGUACUUAAAACCUCACAAACAGCCUUGUCAGAGCCCAUGCUGCUUUGGAGUGGGAAGGAAAGGAGAGGGAGCAGGGAAGUUAAGCAACUUGCCUGCUCUCGCUGAGGCUAGUUGGUGCUGGAGCAAGGACAGAACGCCACUGCUUUCCCCCCUGAAGCUGGUGGCUGCUGUAUGCCUGGCACUGUGUGUGCCUGACGGUGCUGUAGGAACACUGUUUCCUCUGCCAAUUUUGUUUUUAAAAUAACAUUCCUUGUCCUUAAGGCCUAGUUCAAAUGCCACUUCUUUCAUGAUGCCUUCCCUAUGACACCGCCUCUCGUGACACUUAGAGACGGCUAAUAGUUGCAAGAAGAGGCAUUAUAUAUAUUUAUAUAUAAUUAUAUAGUUCAAUAUAACAAACCUGUGUGGAGGAUCCACUCUGUGCCAGACAGACGUCUACAAACUAGCCUCCCCUCCUUGAGGACAAGAAGCAACCAUUGCUUCUACUUCUCUUUGUAUCUCACCGUAUAAAGUGCUUUCAAAAAUC
Long non-coding RNA from Felis catus (domestic cat), 1034 nucleotides. RefSeq lists it as uncharacterized. The transcript has 2 exons. The record is from RefSeq and is a predicted model, not a curated record. Lineage: Eukaryota; Metazoa; Chordata; Mammalia; Carnivora; Felidae.